Molecule: ribosomal RNA, 501 nt
Filed under: uncultured bacterium
Lineage: Bacteria
Description: bacterial SSU rRNA
Rfam family: Bacterial small subunit ribosomal RNA
Source: RNAcentral
AUUGAACGCUGGCGGCAGGCCUAACACAUGCAAGUCGAGCGAGAAAGGUCUUCGGACUGAGUACAGCGGCGGACGGGUGAGUAAUGCGCAGGAAUCUACCUGGUAGUGGGGGAUAACUCGGGGAAACUCGAACUAAUACCGCAUACGCCCUACGGGGAAAGCGGGGGACCUUCGGGCCUCGCGCUAUCAGAUGAGCCUGCGUAGGAUUAGCUUGUUGGUGAGGUAAAGGCUCACCAAGGCGACGAUCCUUAGCUGGUCUGAGAGGAUGAUCAGCCACACUGGAACUGAGACACGGUCCAGACUCCUACGGGAGGCAGCAGUGGGGAAUAUUGCGCAAUGGGCGAAAGCCUGACGCAGCCAUGCCGCGUGUGUGAAGGAGGCCCUUGGGUUGUAAAGCACUUUCAAUUGGGAAGAAAGGUUAGCGUGUUAAUAGCACGUAGCUGUGACGUUACCUUUAGUAAGAAGCACCGGCUAACUCCGUGCCAGCAGCCGCGGUUAAAG